RNAcentral lists this ribosomal RNA (473 nucleotides) under Amphora graeffeana. RNAcentral's name for it is "eukaryotic LSU rRNA". It matches the Rfam family "Eukaryotic large subunit ribosomal RNA", at positions 50 to 549 of the family's 3401-position model. Lineage: Eukaryota; Bacillariophyta; Bacillariophyceae; Surirellales; Surirellaceae. The record is from RNAcentral.
GCGGAGGAAAAGAAACUAACCAGGAUUCCCCUAGUAACGGCGAGUGAAGCGGGAAUAGCUCACCAUGUGAAUCUGUGACGGAAUUGUGAUCUGUAGACGUUGGCAUUAUUUGGGCUGGGUCAAGUCCCUUGGAACAGGGCAGCCGAGAGGGUGAGACUCCCGUCCACCUGGCCCUUGGAGCCUGCGUCGUCGAGUCGAGUUGUUUGGGAUUGCAGCUCAAAUUGGGUGGUAAAUUCCAUCUAAGGCUAAAUACUGGUGGGAGACCGAUAGCGUACAAGUACCGUGAGGGAAAGAUGCAAAGCCGCGCGAAAGCGCUGUUAAAGAGUACCUGAACUUGCUGAAACGGAAGCGAAGGAAACCAGUGUUGGCUGCGUCAUACUUCCUCAGCUGCUUGCGGCUGGGGCGCUGUGGCCAGCGUGGUCCGUCUUGAUUGCGGUUGCCGGAUUUGCGCUCGGGGAGUUGACCCGGGUUGC